RNAcentral lists this ribosomal RNA (253 nucleotides) under uncultured bacterium. RNAcentral describes it as "partial 16S ribosomal RNA". It matches the Rfam family "Bacterial small subunit ribosomal RNA", at positions 524 to 776 of the family's 1533-position model. The record is from RNAcentral.
GACGUAGGGCGCGAGCGUUGUCCGGAUUUAUUGGGCGUAAAGAGCUCGUAGGCGGCUUGUCGCGUCGUCCGUGAAAACUUGGGGCUCAACUCCAAGCUUGCGGUCGAUACGGGCAGGCUAGAGUUCGGUAGGGGAGACUGGAAUUCCUGGUGUAGCGGUGAAAUGCGCAGAUAUCAGGAGGAACACCGGUGGCGAAGGCGGGUCUCUGGGCCGAUACUGACGCUGAGGAGCGAAAGCGUGGGGAGCGAACAGG